GGAGCGCCUCUGACUGACUUCCCCCAUGUGUCCGUGUGGCCACACCGUGCUACUUUCAGAGGCAGUGGGCUUUUCGCUAAGGGAUAAAAAGAAGUAAAACCUUGCCUUUAGCGCAGCUCUCCUUCACUGGGCAGAUUGCUCUCCCUCCCCACUCUCCCAGGCCCAAAUUGGAUCUCAGCGCCUGGGAGCUCCAACUUUAGCAAGUGCGAAAUCCUGUCUUCGGUUUUGGAAUUUUCAUCCGCACAGACUAUAUCAGCCACGGAUAGGAUAUGUGAGAAUACCAGCAUGUCAAGGCUGGGAAUCAUCCUUAGGCAUCACCUAGCCAGUCCUGCCUCUCAUUUUAAGGAACACCUGGAGAUGAAGACAAGGAAGAUGUCAGUUUCUACAUUAAGUAACAAACUAGAAAGAAAACAACUUUUUUUCUCCUUCACAAAAACAUACCAAAUGGGAACUGCGCAACCAUCUUUGGAGAUGUGAGAGGCUCUGAAAUGCCAAAUCGGUUUUCAGCACGGACCCGGAAGAUGUACUCCUGGCCUGGGAUCAGCUUUCCAACCCUGCAGGAAGUUUUUGUGACUGAAGCUAGAGCCGUGACCCAGUCACCUCGGCUUACAUCACACUUCUCCACUAUAUAAUUGGUGAUGUUACUGCCUCCGUCCUCCAGAGGGAUGUGCCAUGACAGGGAGCAAGCAUCAGCGUCUAUAUCAGAAAUGUCAAAUGGAGGCUGAGGGGGGCCGGGGGCAUCUACAUGAACCAAGAGGAAAG
RNAcentral lists this long non-coding RNA (762 nucleotides) under Homo sapiens (human). RNAcentral's name for it is "long non-coding RNA NONHSAT075768". The record is from RNAcentral. Lineage: Eukaryota; Metazoa; Chordata; Mammalia; Primates; Hominidae.